Pan troglodytes (chimpanzee) is the source of this 1262-nucleotide RNA transcript. It is a transcript of the gene named C1q and TNF related 12, with no coding region annotated. NCBI's taxonomy places the organism in Eukaryota, Metazoa, Chordata, Mammalia, Primates, Hominidae. The transcript has 5 exons. The record is from RefSeq and is a predicted model, not a curated record.
CAGACAUGCAGCGGCGGAGGCCGGGCGCGCCCCUGGGCCUCGCCCCCGCGCGGGGGCUCUGAGCGCCGGCCGUCCCCAUGACUGCGCCCUGGCGCCGAGACUCGCCGCGCUGAGCCGCCUCGGGACGGAGCCAUGCGGCGCUGGGCCUGGGCCGCGGUCGUGGUCCUCCUCGGGCCGCAGCUCGUGCUCCUCGGGGGCGUCGGGGCCCGGCGGGAGGCACAGAGGACGCAGCAGCCUGGCCAGCGCGCAGAUCCCCCCAACGCCACCGCCAGCGCGUCCUCCCGCGAGGGGCUGCCCGAGGCCCCCAAGCCAUCCCAGGCCUCAGGACCUGAGUUCUCCGACGCCCACAUGACAUGGCUGAACUUUGUCCGGCGGCCGGACAACGGCGCCUUAAGGAAGCGGUGCGGAAGCAGGGACAAGAAGCCGCGGGAUCUCUUCGGUCCCCCAGGACCUCCAGGUGCAGAAGUGACCGCGGAGAUUCUGCUUCACGAGUUUCAGGAGCUGCUGAAAGAGGCCACGGAGCGUCGGUUCUCAGGGCUUCUGGACCCGCUGCUGCCCCAGGGGCCGGGCCUGCGGCUGGUGGGCGAGGCCUUUCACUGCCGGCUGCAGGGCCCCCGCCGGGUGGACAAGCGGACGCUGGUGGAGCUGCAUGGUUUCCAGGCUGUGAGUGGAGCCAGGAGCUUAGAGCGGGGCGUUGGGUGGGGCCCCACAGGCAAGACGGAACCACACACACCGCCUGACACUCAUGGGGCAGCACGUGGGUUGGGGGUUGGGGGCGGGGCUAGGAGGGCGAGGGGCUGCCUCGGGUCAGGGUUGGGAGGCCCUGGGGGCCCAGAUCACACUUUAUGCCCAGACGGAGCGUGGGUCCCCGGUAGCCGGGAGGCAGGGAGACCCUCCUGGGUGUGGACUCGAGGGUCAGUCCUGCUGGUGCCCACAGUGAGCGUGAGGGUCCCGGGAGACCUGCUCCGAGUGAGGGGCUGUCGGUUGCAGGCACCUUCCCCAGGCGGGGUCUGUGGGGUGGGGGCCAGGCCCUGUGCUGGCCGCUCACCCACUGCCCCUCACAGCCUGCUGCCCAAGGUGCCUUCCUGCGAGGCUCCGGUCUGAGCCUGGCCUCGGGUCGGUUCACGGCCCCCGUGUCCGGUAUCUUCCAGUUCUCUGCCAGUCUGCACGUGGACCACAGUGAGCUGCAGGGCAAGGCCCGGCUGCGGGCCCGGGACGUGGUGCGUGUUCUCAUCUGUAUUGAGUCCCUGUGCCAGCGCCAC